UACGAGGGGGGCAAGCGUUGUUCGGAAUUAUUGGGCGUAAAGGGCGCGUAGGCGGUCGGAUAAGCGUGCGGUGAAAGCCCGGGGCUCAACCCCGGGUCGGCCGUGCGGACUGUGCGACUGGAGCACUGUAGAGGCAGGUGGAAUUCCGGGUGUAGCGGUGGAAUGCGUAGAGAUCCGGAAGAACACCGGUGGCGAAGGCGGCCUGCUGGGCAGUAACUGACGCUGAGGAGCGAAAGCGUGGGGAGCGAACAGG
RNAcentral lists this ribosomal RNA (253 nucleotides) under uncultured bacterium. Its description in RNAcentral is "partial 16S ribosomal RNA". It matches the Rfam family "Bacterial small subunit ribosomal RNA", at positions 524 to 776 of the family's 1533-position model. The record is from RNAcentral.